CUCUGUCGAGCCAGAAGUAUUGAAGCAACAUCCUGUUUUGGAUCAGCUCGCUCGGCUUUUUGCACAGUUGCAUGCUAGUAAAAUGGCUUUUAUUGACUCAGCUCCAUUUAUAAAGACGCUGGAGUUAGAUAAUGGGGUUCAACAGGAUAGCCUUGAGUUCUUGACCUUACUUCUUUCCUUGCUUGAGCGUUGUCUAAGCCAUUCUAAAGUUUCCAAAGCAAGAACUGUUGUUCAAGAUCUCUUCCGUGGAAGUGUGUCACAUGUAACAAUGUGCUCAAAAUGUG
This 284-nucleotide unclassified non-coding RNA is filed under the name Hevea brasiliensis (rubber tree). The record is from RNAcentral. Lineage: Eukaryota; Viridiplantae; Streptophyta; Magnoliopsida; Malpighiales; Euphorbiaceae.